This 2753-nucleotide long non-coding RNA is filed under the name Salmo salar (Atlantic salmon). RNAcentral describes it as "lncRNA (ENSSSAG00000095465.1)". Lineage: Eukaryota; Metazoa; Chordata; Actinopteri; Salmoniformes; Salmonidae. The record is from RNAcentral.
UCCUAGAUCAGCUCUCCUACUCUACUUAGAGACACUGUGUGAAUAUGGACCCUGUACUGGUUUAAUAUAUCAGGUGGAGUUAUUCACCAGCUAUAGAGUGAGUUGUUGUUUAUGUUUCUAAGACUGCAGGGUGGGAGCUGCAACAAUGGCCUUGAGAACAGCAGGAAGUGUGUUGGUGGUCUUUCUCUGGUCUGUAGCAGUGUUACUGGGUCAGUAUGGCUGAAGUGUGAUGUACACCAUCUGUGCCUUGAAGGGGUCAACAGUGGAGCUGUCCUGCUCUUACACAUAUCCCAGAGGUUAUACAGUCACAACAACCUUCUGGUUUACCAAACUUUAUACCGUGACUCUGAGUGAUGACCCAGACUACAAAGGUCGUGUGACGUACCCUAGCGACAUGAAAAAUGGCCACACUCUGACAAUCAGAGACCUGAGAGAGAGUGACUCAGCUACGUACAAGUUCAGAUUUAUAACAGAUCAGACCGUAGGGAAAUAUACUGGUGAUCCUGGAGUCAUUCUGUCUGUCACAGUCACACUUUAUUUGGAUAAUCUGGAUAGAUGCUCUACAGAUGGUCAGGAUAUCAACAAACUACCUGUUGAUAAUGUGUCCAUCCUGACCCUAACUGUGACACACACACCACUGAAAAUGAGGACCAGACAGUCUGGCAUGUGAGGGACUCCAGGGGAGAAAACCACCACAGAACCUGGACUGAAGACAACCACCACAGAACCUGGACUGAUAGAACCACCACAGAACCUGGACUGAAGAGAACCACCACAGAACCUGGACUGAAGAAAACCACCACAGAACCUGGACUGAUAGAACCACCACAGAACCUGGACUGAUAGAACCACCACAGAACCUGGACUGAAGACAACCACCACAGAACCUGGACUGAAGACAACCACCACAGAACCUGGACUGAAGAGAACCACCACAGAACUUGGACUGAUGAGAACCAUCACAGAACCUGGACUGAAGAGAACCACCACAGAACCUGGACUAAAGAGAACCAUCACAGAACAUGGACUGAAGAGAACCACCACAGAACAUGGACUGAAGAGAAUCACCACAGAACCUGGACUAAAGAGAACCACCACAGAACCUGGACUGAAGACAACCACCACAGAACCUGGACUGAAGAGAACCACCACAGAACUUGGACUGAUGAGAACCAUCACAGAACCUGGACUGAAGAGAACCACCACAGAACCUGGACUAAAGAGAACCAUCACAGAACAUGGACUGAAGAGAACCACCACAGAACAUGGACUGAAGAGAAUCACCACAGAACCUGGACUAAAGAGAACCACCACAGAACCUGGACUAAAGAGAACCACCACAGAACAUGGAUGGAAGUGAACCACCACAGAACAUGGGCUAAAGAGAACCAUCACAGAACAUGAACUGAAGAGAACCACCACAGAACAUGGACUGAAGAGCUAUGGCUCCAAAGCAAAGCUAGUCGUUACACCUCUAUUCUCUUGCUAAUAUAUUGUUAUAAUAUCUUGAAGGUUCACCCAAAUUACAAAAUGACACAUUGGUUUCCUUACCCUUUUACCAGUCUAUGAACAUGGUGUGACAGCAGUCCAUGCUUUGGUUAAGUUUCCCCUGGCACUGUUUCAACUUGCUAACGUUUUAGCAUCCGUGGCACAAAUCCCAUUCAAGUAGAGAGGCAUUUCUCGCAAAAAAUGUUGAAAUCAUUCAAAAAUAAAAAAUGCAUUGUGAAGCUCAACAAAGUCACUUAAUAUGUGAAAUAUUAUUAUCGGUCCCAUGACUUGAAUGGGAUUUUUGUUACAAAUGCUAUAAUGUUAUGUAAAUGUCGGAGUGUUCGACAUUGCAGCCAACUUUAUAGGCGAGUCAAGAUCUACAAAUCAUCUUGCAUGAUAAAUAACUACUCAAUGUUAUUAAUAGACCAGUCAGUCACAAUUUACCCAUCAUACAUCACAGUUUUGAUGCUCUUGAACACUGUCUGUGUGACUGUGGAAUGAAGCCCUCUCUGCAUAAAUGUCUUAGUUACUGACAUAGAGUUGGAUAGAGGGUAUAUCUUGGCAUCUUUGUCAAGAUGUCUUCUGUGACAGAAUGAGCAGCGCCAUUGAGGGCUAUUUACAUUUUAAAGUUGUUAAUGCAUUCUUCUUCAACUUCCAUAAGUUUAAUAACAGUCGGUAUACCAAUUGAAAUGGUGUAUUCAAUGGCUUUGCCAUGCUAAAACAGGCUUUUUAGCAAGUGCGCCCUCUAUUCAACUCUAUUGUCCCUGACUGCUUCAAAGUUGUCAACCACACACUUCAAACCUCACACUCAGUGUCUAUUUACAUAGACUUCCAGUAAGUUAACUUACAACACAUCUCCCCUUCACUCUACUGCAGGGUGGGAGAUGCAACAAUGGCCUUGAGAACAGCAGGAAGUGUGUUGGUGGUCAUUCUCUGGUCUGUAGCAGGUGUUCUGGGACAAAAUACUGUGAGGAGUGUCUGUGCCUUAAAGGGGUCAUCAGUGGACAUGCGCUGUCCUGUUCCCAGUGUGACCCAAGUCACAGAGAUAGUCUGGUAUAACAAAUGGUUGAAUCAUGAGCCUUAUGAUCUGAGAUGGGACCCUAAGUAUGAAGGUCGUGUGGAGUACAGUGGAACUACAGAGAAAGACUGCAUCCUGAGAAUCACAGACCUGAGAGAGAGUGACAUAGCAACAUAUUACUUCAGAUAUAAAACAACCCAGUAUUCAGAAUGGAAAUAUUCAUAUGGAUUCACUCUCAGUCUCACAG